GCCAGGAUGUCCGAGUGGUUAAGGAGUCAGACUUGAAUACUGCAAUUUAUCUGAUGGGUUUACCCGCGUCGGUUCAAAUCCGGCUUCUGGCU
Filobasidium floriforme is the source of this 92-nucleotide non-coding RNA. The record is from the annotation of a RefSeq genome assembly. Lineage: Eukaryota; Fungi; Basidiomycota; Tremellomycetes; Filobasidiales; Filobasidiaceae.